UCCAAUUUGUUUAAUUUCACCGGGCACCAUUUUUAGCUUCAUUGUCUUUUCGAUGUGAUUCAAACCAAAUUACCAAUUGAAUUACAAUUAGUUAAUUACGGGACAAUUGGAAUUGGGAAUUUGGGAAUUAAGGAUUUCUCUUUCUCUUGAAUCUCUUCUCUCUUCUCACUUUCUCUCCCAAAUCUCUAGCAGCCUGACAAAGACGGACGAAGAAAUGAAGAAGCAAAUCAAGUAAUAAUUCCGCUGUGUUUGCUGAAAUGAAGCCUUGACCUCUACUGAUUUCUGAAGCUUUUCCGAUUUCCGCUGUGUUUGCCGACUACACACACGGACCUUUAUUUCUCCGCUCCUCCCCCAAGCCCUGAGCUUCGUCGAUUCUAUAGAGUGUAGAUUCUGUACUUUAGCAGCUACCGGUGAAGCCUUGAAGAUGAAGCUCUAAAUUUGGUUGAAUUGGAUGCUGGAGAUGAAGAUGAGACUAAUAAUGAAGAGAAUGAGAGAAGAAAUUAUCCUAAUAAAGGCUAUGAUAUGUCAAAUUUUGAUGAUGUCGAGGAAUUUGGUGGUACUAAAUUCGGCUAUAGUUAGGAGCCAUGGAAAUGAAGUGAUGAACAGUAAAUGACCUAUUGAAGUGAUAAACUGCAUUAUUGUUGUUUAUGUUUAUUAGUUUAUGUUUGGUGGUACUGAUUUACUGAAUUGAUUGUUAAUCAUGGCCAUGUUUCAAUGUUUGAGACAAGUUUUGUAUGUUGAAAAGUUUGAAAUAUGAACUAUCAUGUCAGAAUGCUUGAGGCUUGAACUUUGAAUUUGAAAUUUAAACUUUGAAA
Molecule: long non-coding RNA, 815 nt
Organism: Coffea arabica (coffee)
Lineage: Eukaryota; Viridiplantae; Streptophyta; Magnoliopsida; Gentianales; Rubiaceae
Source: RefSeq, a predicted model, not a curated record